RNAcentral lists this ribosomal RNA (253 nucleotides) under uncultured bacterium. RNAcentral describes it as "partial 16S ribosomal RNA". It matches the Rfam family "Bacterial small subunit ribosomal RNA", at positions 524 to 776 of the family's 1533-position model. The record is from RNAcentral.
UACGAAGGGGGCUAGCGUUGUUCGGAAUUACUGGGCGUAAAGCGCGCGCAGGCGGUUCUCCAAGUCAGUGGUGAAAGCCCGGAGCUCAACUCCGGAACUGCCAUUGAAACUGUUGAACUUGAGGACGAGAGAGGUAAGUGGAAUUCCCAGUGUAGAGGUGAAAUUCGUAGAUAUUGGGAAGAACACCAGUGGCGAAGGCGGCUCACUGGCUCGUAUCUGACGCUCAGGCGCGAUAGCGUGGGGAUCAAACAGG